This 28410-nucleotide long non-coding RNA is filed under the name Xyrichtys novacula (pearly razorfish). The record is from RNAcentral. Lineage: Eukaryota; Metazoa; Chordata; Actinopteri; Labriformes; Labridae.
AUAUAUUAGACACUAGUGUUGAGAUGUCUGUCUGUCAUGAUAGCAUGUACUGAGUCGGGGCCAGUACCAGAUAAGAACAUUAAACUAUAAUCCAUAAACGUAAGGUAACAACCGAGACCUAAUGGUGCUGUGACAGCAACACGAUUGAGUUUGAGACAGUGAAAAUACAUAUGGUAUGUUGUAUCUGAACAGGUUAGCUUACGAGCUAAAGUUACUUAGCACAGAUGAAAGUUAAAACAAAGACGUUUAGCAAACUGUUAAAGCACACAAACCAUCGUCAUGUGAGAAAUCCGACACUAUGACUCUCCAUAAGUUGUCCUUCAGGUCUUUAUGUUUGUAAUAUUUGUGUCUUUUAUCAAAAAGCACUCUGUACUCCGACACGUAAACAAUUAGCCGGUCGGCCAUGUUGGAUAUACCGGUGAAUCUGACGUUGUAACACAAAAACACACAGUAUGCAAAACUUUAGAAAAUUCGACCGUGAUACAAAAAAAAUAAAUGCCGCAAUAUCGCAGGACGGGAAAACAUCGCAGAUGUGAACGCUUGUAUUGGUAGGAUAUGGGUUUGAAAAAAAAUAUUGAUGUCCAAAAUAAUCAUACGAAAAAAACGCUCCAGGUGUAAAAGGACCUUUAGGGUCAAGAGAUUCAGAAGUGUGAUAAUGUUCUGUAAUGUUCUAUUCGACGUACAGAGUCGACAGCCUGCGUUUGGCUUAAGCGUGUGAUGACGUUUCCAGCUUUUCUAGCCAAUCAGAGGCAAGGAAGGCGGGACUUUCCCCUACCAUCCUCCAAAAAAAAAAAAUCAGCCCGGUAAUAACCUCCCGUAAAAACUGUUGUUCAGAACUGCACCCAACAUGCUUACUUAUGCUUCCUACCUACUCGGCUACUGUAAUAACCGUUGUUUUAAUUUACACGCAACAUUUUUGUUCUCAUUCAUGAAACCCUUAGAUUGAGGAAAUUUCUGGGGACAGCUUUAGCUGGGGACAGGUCGACCAAUAUGGGAACUGUCCCCGGAAAUCGGGGACGUCUGGUCACCUUAUUGUUGACUGAAUAAUACUUAAAUAUGUCGGAGCUUUUCAAUGACAUGCAAAUAUGCGGUAACCAAGACUUCAGGACUUUGAUUUAUUUGGAUUACUAAGUACAAGUUUGAUUAAGCCGGUGAGAAGCAAAGAGAACCGACAAACUUAUAAAACUACUUUUACAACGUACAUUUUGGUUUGGGUGAUCAUACGUCCUCUUUUACCCGGACAUGUCCUCUUUUUUGGGGGCUGUAUGGCUUUGUCCGGGGAAGUUUAUAAAAUCCUUCAAAUGUCUGCGGUUUUGAACACAGGUUUUCGUGCAACUCCAUGACUCCCCCUCUGCGUAGUUGUGUCCUCUUUCUGGAAGGUCAGAAUAUGGUCACCUUAAUUCUGGUUAUUAAACACAUUUAUAGAGAUGCCGUUACUUAUAGUAUGGAAAAAAAGGCCAACUUUUGGAGAACUUUCUACUUUUCUUCUUUACUUUUCACGGCAUUGUCUCUGAUGCACUGUAUGAACAACUAAAACAGUACUGUCUCUUCAUCCGUGUAACCUUGGCAUUGCAGUUCGCCAAAUGCCGUCCUUUUUAAAACAGUUUUCAUACCAAAAACUUCCAUUUAUGCUAAUGAAAGCUAGAGACAGUAAGGAAGUCAGGUUGCGGUUGCUGUUUUUACCUUACAGAUAUCAAAUGUUGUCAAACUGUUCUCCGGAAUAACCACAACUUCCUUUUUCCUCACCGAGAGCAAGUUUGACUUGUAUAUAUCUGGUAUAAUGAUGCUGUUUCUGUGCUGAAUCAUAAAAACAGUGGAAUCCAACAACCUGAACCGACAGCUGCAUCAGUAAACCUGUGUUUUUUAGUCCUCUGACAAAUAACAGCAAUCUGAGAGUCAUUAAAAACUGUCGAACAUCAUUCUCACUUUUUUUUUUUUUUUUAACGUGCCCCUGAGCCUGGCACUUGAUCCCCUUUCGCUAUGAUUGCUGAGGACUCCGGUUAUAAUGAGCAGCUCACAUGUGAUGCUGCAACUAAGCAUUACAAGACGGGCAGGUUGCUUUCCUGACAAAAGCGAGCCUUGCUCUGUGGUGCGGAUUUGGCAGUUUAGACAGCUGUGGUAUUUGUUUGAUACGGUUUUUAUGUUCGUCAAAACCAGUGAAUGACCACAUACAACCCACGGAUGACAGCGCUGUCAUCUCACACGAAAAACACUCAUAUCUGAGCGAGCUAAAAAAGCAUCAUACGGAGUGAAGGCAAUCAUUACGAAGUCAUUCUUCACCGGGGAUUGAGUGGACAAAAGGAAGAGUUUUCAUAAAUCAUUCCUCCAUGAUAGCGAAGCUUGUCCUCUAGUUUGGCGGUUACAGUAUAUACGAUUCAGCGCCAUAAUAGAUAAGCCACAAAGGUUCCUGGAUGUCUUUGAAAGAAGUGGGAUACAGCGCUGAAAUGAAAGCAGUCCCUGGACAGGUAAUGGCUGAAGAAGAAAUAAAAGACUUCGAAAUGGAUGAUUCAUUUUGUUACAUCCUACAGAAAAAAAAAAUUCCAAAUGUCUCAGAGUGCCGCUGUUAUCUACUUUGUGUCCUCAAGGCUUUCCACACUGUGAUUAAGAAGCCUCUUAAAUCUUUUCUCCAACUUUGUACAAAUGUUUUCACCAAAGUUAAAUAUUGCUUUGAAUUCGUCCCAAAAUGGGGUCAUCCUGGGUGCCUAGCACUUGGAUAGAAAAAGAGAAAUCUCUGCAUUUGAUUAUAACUUCCUCGGAGAUAAUGAAAAAAGUCUGGGGAGCUUUUUUGUUUAUGAGAGUAUUUCAUCUAUCAAAAACAGAUAAAUGAUGCUAAAUGAAGCCAGAUGUUGACCACCAAAGUUCAUGAGGAUGGGAAGUGAUUUAAUGGCUCAUUCUCUGCCUCUCUUAGAAUUCUCUGCACAGUUCAGGGUCUCCUCAUGAUAACCCAGUUCCUUCCAAUGCCUGACUACAGAUAGGCUAGUUUAGCACCUAUUAGAAAAGAGGCUCCAAACCCUUUAAUUAUCUGCAAUAAUGGGACCAUUCUCGUUGUGUUAGCUAACCAUGCUAUGGGGACUAAUAAAGGCUUUCUCAUCUUUUAAAGGGAUAUUCUGGCGUAAAAUUAAUUUAGGGUCAAACACACCAUAACACCGAGUAAGACACCCCCCCUGAGAGAUGAAUGUUGCCGACCGCUUGCUUCUCUAGUUUUACCAACUUUAGUAACGACCGCACGAUAGCAAUACACAGCGGUCUGAGGAGCCAUAAACAAACCUCAACCAAAACACCACUCUAUAGCCACAAAUAAUACUCAGAACAGCACCUAACUUCAUCAACAGUACAUAUAGGGUCCUAGCCACAGCACUAGCCACCAAACAUCUCUUUAGCUUUGCCUGAUUUCUUUAGCAAAGAGACUAAACACAACUUACCCAUUGUCCUCCAGCAGCUGCUUGUUUGUAGCGAGACCUCAGGCCAGUCCAUUACGGACUGCAGCGGAGUUUCGCAGCUCAAGGAAGAACAUUUAUGAUCAUUACUUUAUUCCCUUUAAGUCAUAAUCACCAUAUUAAUCAUUUUGCACUGCAGACGCAGUAGUUCUUCUGCUUUAGCGUCUCGGUUUUGAUUGCAUUUUCAUGAAGGAACGAUCAUUUUCCCCUGUGUUGAUUUUCACUACAGAGUUAUGAUUUUACCAUCUUGUCCCUUUGAAGGUUUUUUUUUUUUUAAUAAUCUUUCAAAUUUUAUUGAUUCCAUGAAUGUCUUUGCAAAAUGCUUGGCAUUUUUUUAUGCUUAGGAACAUAAUUCUGAAGAUGUUGAAUUCAAGCAGGCUCUCACAAAGUGGUGAACCUUACUUCUGAGAGACCGGGUCACUCUGGAACAGUGUUUUCUAUAAAACAAAAUUGUCAAACUUGUUGCUUAUUGUCUUAUUUGCUUUUGGAUGUCACAAAAAAGUAUGUUGCAAAAAACUUAAGCAAAAAAAAAAAAGUAAAAAAGUAUAUUAUUAUAGCACUUUUAGGAGGAGACGUUUUUGUCCAUCUAAGGACCUAAACGUAAGUUUUUUUUCAAGGACCCAGGAGGGUUAAUAUGACUGGACAAUACCAUACCUAUGGAAUUGGGAAUGGGGUUUAAACAUAGUUUUAAUGCAAAAAAAAAAAAAAAAAAAAGGUUUGAAUCCAGCUCAGGGCAUUUCUGUGUGGAGUUUGCAUGUUCUCCCUGUGUCUGCGUGGGUUUACCCUGGGUACUCCGGUUUCCUCCCACAUCCCAAAAACAUGCAGAAGUUGGGUUCGGUUAAUUGUCCACCUUCAAAUUGUCCGUAGGUGUGAAUGUGAGUGUGGAUGGUUGUUCGUCUCUAUAUGUCAGCCCUGCAAUGGACUGGCGACUUGUCCAGGGUGUCCCCUGCCUUCGCCCGAAGAUGCUGGGAUAGGCUCCAGCCCCCCCGCGACCCCGGGAACGGGAAUAAGCGGUAGAAAAUGGAUGGAUGGAAAAAAAUGAACAUAGUGAAAAAUGUGAUCAAAUAGGAGCAGUAGACAGAAGUUUUAGCAAAGCAGAAUUACAGACAAGCUUGAAAUUACAGCAACAGAGAAACUAACAUGAUGGAAAAAACAUAAAGAGGAAGACUAGAAGAGUCGAUAGUAGAGCUAAAUGAGAACCAGAGCGGAACUAAGGCUGUGAGCUUUGUUAGAAAACUGCAAGAAACCACAUCUGGUGCGAAUACAAAGGUGCGUAAACGGAGAUUAAAACGGCUGCUAAAGUGUUGAUUCUGGGAAAACUCCAGGCAAAUAGUGUAACAUGUGAUCACGCUGAUUGAUUAUUGGCGCUUUACUGCUGAUCUGUCUGCAGUCUAUUUGGCCUAAAUCCACUCUUAAUCACAAUAAAAUUGUCUUUCACAGCUGGUCUCGCUCAAAGAGUGAGGACCUCCAAUAUGGCUGCCAGGGGCUUUGUUAUAUCACUUCACCGUCUGUAUGAGCAGUCUCCAGCGCUUAAAUUGUUUUCUCUCUGGCCUCCUAAUGAGGCACAUAUGGGAUACGAAGUCAAUACAAUUAGCUGCAAUUAACUAGCAGGCACUUUACACUGAUACUGAGCUUGAAUUCAACAGCUAAGACAAACUAAAAUGACCCGGAAUGCCCUAAAUGGAAGCGACUGCUCCUCCACAAGCAAUUUCCAAGACUCUAACUACUCACUUGGAGUAGGGAGAAGGCUAGAGACAUUUACACUGAGAGUCUCGGCCCUUUUUUUGAGGAGUUGUAGAGGCCAUUGUGAAGCAGAGUGAGUCCUCAUUGGUCCUUAUUAGUUCCACUAGAGAGCUCAGGAGCAGGGGCUGGUGUCGGAUUUACUAAAAAAAAAAAAGAAAAAGAAAAGGGGGAAGCCUCACUUGGAAGGAUUUCAGGCCAUUAGAUAAAACUUACAAGAUGUGGCUACAAAACAUGGAAAAUGAAGAUGAUGGUUGUAUUCAGUGUUGGGAGAAACUUUUAUUCUCAUUUUAAAUGGAUUUUUUUUCUUUCCCCGGGAUGAUUUCACCUGUUCAGAACCCAAUUAUGAUUGGAAAACACAGAAAUCUAUGGUAAUGGCGUUUGCAGGGUUUCUGUGGGUAAUGGACUGCUUCAUCAUCAGCGGACUAAAAAGGAAGUAUAAUGAGACACGUAAUAACAUGUUUUUCAAAUCUAAAAGUGAGGACCUUUAGUAUCUGAAAAUAAACACUGUUAGGGACCUUUGUAACUGAAAAAGAUUAUCUCUAUUUGUAAUGGUAAAUUAAUUUUUCAUUACCUUUACAGUGAUGCUUUCAAAGUGAGCAAAUCAAACGGUGACAUUCAAGUCCAUCUGCCAGUCCUAUAACCGUUCUUAAUUAGAGAUUAAAGCCCCUUUGAGGAACUUUUUACAAGGUUAUCAAGUAGACUAGAAUUAAAAUUGAUACGUCUGCACAAACAAGACCAUCACAUGCACAAAGCGUCCUCAUAAUUCUGUCACAUUGUUGGGCAAGUUACGGAAAGUAGGGCUGUCACGAUAUCAGAUUUAAUGAUAUUAUUGCAAUAUUUAUGGUACCAACACUUUUUUGGGAAGACAAAUGUUUGUUUUGCAUUUAGUUGAUUUAAUCGAGCUUUGGUUUCAGAUGCUUUAUUUCUACGAUUGAUCCUAAGUUAAAGGCCUGAAUGAAAACAGUAGAAAUAAAAAACAGUACCCUUGACAAGUAACCCAGAGGGGCAGUAGCUUUGUUGUUUUUGGAUUCAAAUAAUCAAUGUCAAUCAAUAAUCAAUGUCUCUGUUUUCCUCCCCAACCCAGCAGUGGCCUGGUGGCUGUCUAGCAUGAGUCUGGUUCUACCCAAGGUUUCUGCCUGUUAAGAGGAAGCUUUUCCUUGCAACUGCUACUCAUGUUAGAUGAGAUGGGCCAAAUCCCAUCUUAGGUUGGGUCUUGAUAAUUCAUCAACCAAUGAGCUUGGUCUAGACCUGCUCUUGUUCUUUGGAAAGCGUCUUGGGAUGACGACUGUUGUGAAUUGAUGCUAUAUAAAUACAAUUUUAUUGAUUGAUUUGAUUGAUGUUUAAUAUUAGUCCUGAAUCGUCUCGAAGGGCCACAGGUAGCUCGCCACCAGCUGGUUGACGUAACAAUUCCGAGAUGGCGCCUCCCAUCACUGGACCUCUUUUUCUCUGAAAACCAAUGAGUUGGUGUGAGGGACUUCGCGGAAAGAUGGCAGAGGUUCAGUCAAGACUAUUUGCGCCAAUGAAAAUUAUCAUUUGAAUACUUCAACAACAAUACAACAAUACUUCUAACAAUAGCAAGAUCAAUUUCCAAAUAGAGGCACAGAAGGUAAAUAAGCUGGACCAACUGAUGUACCGCAGGCGGAUUUUGGCCUGCCUGAACUAUCUCUAUCCCCAAUUCAAUGCAGUUUAGUGGAGUCUAUAAUAAAAACACCUCAGGCACAUUGGUGUUGUUGUGUCUGUGGGAAUAGUCAGGGGAUCCUACAAUGAAAGUUGGGCUUCUGCCUAUUCAAAUUAAAACCUGAGCUUACAUAAGAGUCUUUGUCUAAACAGGAGCAUGAGUCUGAAUUAGCAGGGCUACUUUUGGGAAUAUUAUGUAAAAAAAUAUAUUAUAUCACAAGGAGAUCCCAAAACUGAAGAAGCUGAGCACAAAGCUUUCACAAACCAGCAGAGACAGAGUGAAUAUGAAUCAGACGGUGAAUACCUGGAGGUCUUUUUUGUGUGUUGAGAUCAGUUUGCAUCAAAAGCUCAAAAGGUCAUCGCCAGCUCAGCAACGGCAGGAUUCUUCUGCCGUGAAAUGUGAAUAAAACAUCAAUAAAAACACUGUUUAAUUGAAAAAGUGAUAUCAUAGAUUUAAAAUGCUUUCAGCAAUAUUAGAAAAAGACGAGGCGUACACGAGUCAAGGUUGUAGUUCUUUUUAAAUAAAAGCCUUUUAAGUAAACUCUUUGGUUAUGUCAUGCUACUCAGUGGGGAUUAAGCAAACGCAGUUGACUCCACUCAUUGUUUUGUCAUUUAUAGUCUCCCUAUGUUAAAGCAUAUCCUCUCCGUUACAAGGCUGCAUCUCCACCACAACAAGCUAUUAAGAUCUGUUAAAAGUAAUGAAUGUUGUCAUUGUAGUUAAUGGCAUAAAAGCGCACAUAGAUAUGAUCUUUAAAAUAGCAUUAAGUGUCAUUUUGUAUCCCAUCAUACUGUUAGCUGGUGCAGCUUUUCCAUUAAAGGGAAACACAAAUCACUUUUUAUUCAGAAGUGCACUCCAUUUCCCUCCAGUGAGUUUUUCUUUCACUAUGAAAAGGAUAAGCUGUAGUGCCUUGCGCAUGGACACAUUAUAGAAAAUUCUAUAGAGUGGAAAUUAUCAAAAUACUUGAAAAAAACAAUUUAAAAUGCAGUUAGAGGAUUCAAAGUGUUUUUCGCCCAAACAGACUGAAGUGACCUCAGUCUUUUAAUGAAAUACCUUUCAGUAGAGUUUCCGUGGUAUGACUCUGAAAGCCCUUUGACAGUAAAUUCCACCUCAAACUUUACAAGUCAACACUAAAGUUUGACUAACAGAAUGUCAAGGUUUUACUAUUGUGCUCCAGUUUAGAGAGGCUUCACUUGCAAAUGUCAACCAUGACAAAAACAAGAUCCUGAAUAGAGAGAGACCAAUGGCUUUACAAAUCUAAAACUGCAAUCAGACGGCCAGUGUAAGCAGAUGUUGAAGUGAGAAAGUGCAUAAACCCCCCAAACACAACGUAGAUAGCUUGAGUUAUACUGUAAUGUCUCUUGGGGAUGUUUUUUAGGGUUGUAAAGUGAAUUAAAUGGAAAUUUCAACUUACAAACGUGUCCCAAGCUUUGUAAACCUCAACUCCUUACCAAAUAUGGCCUGGCCAGACUGGAUCUCCCAUCUUUAAUCCACUGAAACAUGCCUGGCUAGUUUAGUCCUUAUAUAAGAGAGUUGGAAGCUUCAAUGUUCUCUCUAGACUUGUGUUUGCACAGCUAUUUCUACCACUUCUCCCUGUGUACAAACAAUAUAAAUGCCUUCCAGGGAUGACUGUCUAAAAUGUGCACCGAGCACAUAUUGAAAUGAUCUGAUCACAUCUGGCCUCUGCCUAUGACGGACAGCUUUUCACUCUGCCUCAGAGUGCAGCUGCUCGAGAACAGCUGGUCCCUCAAGCCUCUCAAAAAAAAGGUCAAACCGCACUUCGCUCGAACUGGUUCUUUGUCUCUUUUCUACACUCACGUCGAAACAAAUACUGUAAAUGUGAAAGUGAAUGAUUUCAGCAACUGCUUGACUUUUUUACAGUUUACAUUACAGCGUGUCAGCACUUUGAGACAACAUAACAAGGAACAAUGACAGGUUAGAUGGAGGAUAGAUGUGAGUGCAGAGUUAGGAUUUGCAUUAAAGUGAUUUUUCUUUAAGAGGAGGGGGAAAGCUACAGAGGGCAAGAGUGGAAGAUUUAUCAGCACUAGAAAAAAGCCAAUUUGGAUGUUUUAACUAAAACCAAGUGGUGACCUCCAGUAAUGAAAAGUGAAGCCCUCGAGGAUCCACUUGAGACUGGCUCCAAAAGCCACUGGAGCGCCAUUAGAGACCAUGAUCUGAUGUCCAUUUUUACAGCAGAAUUUGACACGUUUAAAACCAGAUUGACUCAUUGGUUUCGUGACAAAGCUUUACUGGGGAUUGAGACGUUCCAGAGCUGGGAAUGACGUUACACCCGAGUUGACGGCGAUCCAGUAAACAAGUCCGAAGACCAAGAUGGAUGCCUACAGUUACUCGUUGUUAGCUGUUGUUGGUUGUUGUCAGUCGUUGUUAGUGGUACCAAUUGUACACAAUGCACAACUUAGUAUUUUAUGCGACAACACCAUAGCACCGAGUUCACAGUUAGACGCUGGGCGGCACAACAAAUACCACUUAUUUAAUUUCACAAAAACAAAACAGAAGUGCUAAUAAAUAAUACGUUGCGAUAGCUUUAACGGUUACUCUUCACUGUUGAUGCACUGCGUUGACAUCUUGAAUUAUGACGUUGUCUGAGUACAACUAGAACACAGCAUAAGUCCAUUUGGAAUCAGAUAUAUUCCUACGUGGCUUAACUGACAAACAACUGGCUAAUUCCAGAUUAGUCUGGAAUAGACCAGAUUCCUAUGGUGGCUAUCUUUUUGUGACGCCAUACUCGCGGUGGGGAGCUUUCAGAUUUGUAUCAUGAAGUAUUACAGUGUUCCUGGUCUUAACAGUGGUCAUUUCCCCACCACAAAAACUAUAGUUCGAUCUAUGUAUAGAUUUUCACAUGAAUCCUUCAAAGUGGCCAGAACCAGCAAAAGGAAGCUAUCCAUCUCUGUGUUGAUUGCAUGUUGUGAAAUACUGGCGAAAAUGAGGGACUAUGGAGGAUGGAAGUCAGCAGGAGCGACUGCUUUACCGGGUUGAGACAGCUGAUGUGGAUUCCUCAUGGUAGCUCCUAACGAGAGCCCCCGCAGGCUGGAAGCCCCCGGCAAUGCUUCAAGGUGACUCAAUUUAUCCUAAAGUGCUAUACAUAAGGACCACCUUGAGGAUGUUAAUGAUAGAAAAAGAGCGAGAACUCUAAUGUUUCAUACAUGGAGAUCUCCAUAUUUUAAAAGAACAGGCUGAGGAUGUGGUGUUGAUUCUGUAUGAAUGUUUCAAAACCCCCACUGUGGAGGCGGUGGGAGUCCACGAGGUGAGAAGGCAAAAUCACGGCUCAAGUUCUGCUUUCUGAAUCCCUGAACAAUCUGGGAAAACUUGGGCAUGGAAAAUGAAUGAGACAUGCUCACUCUGGCUUGAAGUUAACAUCUGGGAUGGGUGCCUGGUUGCCUGAAAUAAUUUGUAAAAUGAACAUGAUGUCUUGAAAUGAUGCUGGUACAUGCUUUACCGAGAAAUCAAGAUACAAAAACAUGUUUCUGGUGUAAAAAGUUUAUGAGGGACAUGGAGGAAGCAAAAUCAAGAACAAAAAGAAGAGCUUGGCAUGUCUAUUUUGCCUCUGAGGUAGUCCGAGUCAAGAACUUUGAGCAAGUGAUGUUAUUUAGUUUCCUGGAUUUGUUCUAGCGUUUUGGUUCUGCCAAAUUCUUCCAUUUGGCAAAGUCCACAACAUGCAAAUCCUGUACCUCUGUAGCUCUCUCGAGCAGACUAAUAUGAACAAAUGCAGAGGUGGAAUAACACUGAAAUGGACUUGGCGAGUGCUCCAGAAGGGCACACUGUCACUUUUUAUUACAUUGUAUAUACUGGAAGGGCAUCCAGGUGGCACUGUUAGAACUUUUGAUCGACUGGGAGAGCUUUUGGAGGUCACUUUUUAUUAUUGCACUUGAAGGGCAUUUAGAGGGCAGCUUCUAUCCUAAAAGAUGGCAUCCAGGCAGCACUUUAUUUAGAUUUUAUCCACAGGAAGAGUAUGCAGAGGGCAUUUUUUUGUGUUUCAUACACCGGAGGGGCAUCUAGAUGUUAAUAUUUCUACUUUUUAUCCACUGAGAGGGCAUCCAGUAGGCAGAUAGUAUUUACUGGAAAAGUACUUUAUAUGCUUGAUUAAAUCAAAGGGCAUCCAGAGGUUACUACGACUACUUUAUGUGACAUCCAAAGGGCAUUUGCAUUGGUUGUCUGGCUUUAACCUCUGACAUCUUGGUUGCAACACUAAAGCAAGUGGCUUCGAAGAUAGUGGUAUAGAUAGAAAGUUGGAGUGGGUGUGGUUUUGUAUGCUUGCCCAUGCAAAUCUCUCCUGUCAUUACACAACUAAAUUAUCUCAUUUGAAUAACUAAGGUUAAGGAUUUACGGUUCAACACCCAGAGAGCUGCUGUGCCAAAUAAUGGGUGCAGCGUAUUUGUGGUAAAGGGAAGAAAAAUGUCUUUUUUUAAUUAUUGUAUGACACCUUUACAUGCAUGAUUAUGACCUAAUGAGGGGAAACAGCAGAGUACCAUUUGUCUGGUCCCCAUUACACUGUCUGUGGGUGCCUUGUGCAGCAAAACGCCAACUAGAAAUGAAUGGGGUGAAUUUUCAGUGGGGUCCAGGUUGCACAAUAGAUGAUGGUGGCAGUUGCACCCCCACUCAGGACAAAUUGUGUCUGUGAUGAAGCUUUGGCCAGAUUUUAUCACUAACUUCUGGGUAAAAUAUGGAUGCACUUCCUACCUUUAUGUCCCAUUCCGACUCUAAUACCCGUUCUAAAAUAUCUGCUGAUGUUGAGUAUCCCUCAGCGCUGGCAGAGUUUAAAGGAUUAUAUUCCAUUAGUAUGUAUCACCUAUUGGUUUCAAAUAUGGCUGUUAAAGGUUAACUUUGUCCCUCUGUUACCUUGAAUUAAUCUCGGUGACCAUAGAUUGAAGUGGUAAAAGAAAAACAAAAAGUAAUUCAUUGCUAUGAAUCAAUUUAAUUAACCUUGUGGCCGAGACAUGAAUAAAAACCCACAUGUUCUUGAAAAUGAUAGAUUAUGUCUGUCAGUGCAGUGACUUAUCUUGGGAGGUUGUUUUUAAUGGAUGUUGGAAAACAAUACAAAGCUUAUGACCUUUAGGAGGCAAACCUUUUGUUGUUCUCGGCAAUAUGGGAACUAUACUGCAGGCUGUACUUUUUUAUGUGUUGUAUUAUUCAAUGAGGGGGAAACAGUGGUAUCAUCACAUUUAGAGGAGUGUCUGCGGUAACCUGAAGUCAACCCCAAUCCUAACUGAGGUUGUUUUUCUGGCUGACUCACCUUAACGCCGGUGUGCAUCCAAUUUAAGAAACUGUAUUGUCUUAAUAUCUGUUUGUUUAUAGUUUGUAGAACUUUCUGUCUGUGCUGAUAUUUUCUCUGAUAAUACCAAACUGCGCAGGGAUCAUAAUUGGUUUGAUAUGACUAUUAACCUACAGUCUAGACUCCUAAUCCAUAAAUAUAUUCAAUCCAAUCAAUCAGGAUACCCUUUUGGGGUUGGUUUUGUUUUGAGGUAUUAUACAGGAAAUGUCUGGUUAUACUUCCUAAAUAAAGGACAUUUGUUUAGAAUUGAAAAAGGUUUAAAUAACCUCUACAAUACCUUCAUACAAAUCUUUGAUUAAACUUUGAAUUACAACUAGAAAAGCACUCGGAGAGCGCAGACCUCCGCCAAGCAGCUCAUGUCCCCCCUUAUAUUGUGAUUCACACCAAAACUUUUACUGUUACGUGUCUUUUAUUAACUUUUAUUUGUGUUUAAACUGGUAUGUUCACUGUUCAUAAAACAAGAAACGCCCUGACCCGGAUUCGAACCCAGGACCUUCUUGCUGUGAGGUGACAGUGCUAACCACUACACCACUGUGCCACCCAUUGGUUAUCUUUCAGCAUUGAAAAUUCCAACGACACCCUUAUUUUUGUGUGUUCUAGAUCACAGUAUCCGGAGUUUUGUCUGGAUCAGGAUCAACCUUUGACACCUCAUAAAACUUCCUUUUGUGUAUUUUUUAACUAAAGACUCUGGACAUUUUUAUAGAGUUAAAUGCACAAUGAUAAAGAAUCCUUUAAAAAAUUCCUGGAUCCAGAAGGCGAUCCGGAUCACCACCAGAUGCACCUCUGGUGAAAAUUUCAGGUCAAUCCGUCUGUAACUUUCUCCGUAAAGUUGGUAACAGACAAACAGACAAACAAACAAACCAACGCUACAGAAAACAUAACCUCCUUGGCGGAGGUAAUAAUACUGGAGGACAAACAUGGCUGUGGUUUGAUCAAACUACUCAGCACUUCUCUUGUGUAACUAUGCUACUAUAUCUGCAAUGGAUAACUUGGGUCAAGAUAAAAUUAUAUGAUAUAGCAAACUCAAGAUAAACACAAGAUUAUCGUGUGUUUAAGCAAGAUAACUUAUUGUCAGGGCAAUAUUUUGUGCUCAUAAUGUCAUUUCCUUAUGCCACUUGUAAAUAUAGUUUGCACACAACAUGAAAAUCGCGUUGUAUUUGCAGUGUGUUUCAUAUUUAUUAGUUGUAGCAUUGCACACAAUGCCACGUGCAUUCAUUUGUUUUGUUGCAUUUGUUUUGGGAUUUUAAAUGCGCUCAGAAAGUUGCAUUGCCUCUGUUCUUGCAGAUUGGGAAGCUAAUUUGGCCACCCCCUUUGUUACCUGAUGGGGAAAACAAGCAUGCUUUUAUGUUUUUACUGGUUUUUGCGCUGCAGAUUAUACGGCGCACUGUGAAUUGCCGUGUCUGUGUUUACACAUAAGGCGCACCGGAUUGUAAGGUGCAUUAAGCAUUGAUUGGUUUAUUGUUGCUAGUGCGUACUUCAGGCCCCGGCUGCCUUACAUGAAUGCACUUUUCGUUUAGACAUGACAGUCAGGCAGUGUUGUAGACUGCUCAGGGGUCCUGUUACGGGGCCGAUCAGGUAGUGACCGUAUCCAUUGAGCAAAGUGGCUUCAUGCUUUUAAAAGUCGUACAUGUAUGUCGUGUAUGUAUACACAUUUCGACAGAUUUUUUAGCACACUGUACCACAUAAAAUCAGUCAGUAAGCACAACAUGUCAUCAUACGUAAGGCGCGCUGGAUUAUAAAGGCACACUGCCAAUUUUUGAGGAAAUCUAAGGAUUUUAAGUGCGCCUUAUAGUCCGAAAAAUACAGUACAUUUCAUACAUCUGAGUUAUCUUCCAAAACAAGUCAGAAAUGACCGAGGAACUAAAUCUUCUGGAUGGUAUUAAUUGGACCCAUCAGACAACCAUGGUAGCUACAGCCUCAUAUUUCGAAGCUCCAGGACUCUGCCGAGCUGCCUUAUUUGAAAAUUUGAAAAAGAAGACCAGUCCAGCUUUUACUCGCCCGAAUGAAGUGACUUACAGUCAUUAAAAGUCAUGCUGUAAGCACCAUGUGUCAUUAUCUACCCCCCACGCUGCCUUUCGUCAUGCACAUUGUAAUGCUUGAACACAUCACAGGGAACGUACUGUAUGUGCGUGUGUGGUAAAGAGCGAGCCCAGGAAUGUUAUAUAUAAAAUAGCAAUGAAUAGACAGCUGGCUGACAGUUCCCCACAUCAAGGCUCAGGCAUGAAACUGCAGCUCCAAAUGAGCUAUCGCUGCCUGGUGGCCCUGCCAUGUUCGGCAAGAAGAGGGAGAGAAAAAAAAAGCUGUGUUUCAUAUGAGUGCUGACAGCUCCCCAGAUAGACCAAGGUUAAAGCGGUGUUAAAGGGACUUUUUGGGAGGGGUUUCUAAAUCUUUGAUCAGGAUGAAAUAGCAUUUUAAGGUAGCCAGAACCUUGGGAGUAAUUGCCGAUUGAAAAAUUGAUUAUUUGAAACAUUGAAGUCGUAGUGCUAUUACUGUACGACUGAGGAUUGAGAGUGGCUAAUGUCUCUCCUGGGCCUUAAAUACCACAGAUGUGCUCUAAAGCACUUCACUGCCUCACUGAAGGACACAAUUCAUCUCUGAAUGGAAAAGAGCAGAUGAUUUGAUCCUUAAAGAUAUUAUGCGGUAAAAGCAAAGCAUGAUUUUCCUGGACUUUCCCAGCAUUGGGGUUUAAUUAUAGACCAGAACCAGCCCUCAGGUUGAUUUGUCAGCCCAUCAUAAAGGUUAACAAUAACUCCUGACUCAAGGUUUUUUUGGUCUUGUAGGUUCAAAUGCUUCAGGCAAGGUCACAUAAAACUUAUCAUAUAACCCGAUUCACAGAGAGGAGAUUUAGAAAAUUUCAAACAGUUUCCAAGAAUUUGAAGAUUUCACUCAGAUGGAAGGUUUAUCGAAUCCUCUAUCGCAGAUUUUCCUAAUAAACAGGAACUGAUUGCUUUCAAAGGCACUUUCUUAUUGCUCUUGCCCCCCAGAAAAGUGGAAAGAACUGACUGUUCAGGCUACAGUGCAUUACAAACAUGCAUGAAUCUGUGGUGGAAAUUACCACAUGGGUACAUAAUCACUUGCAAAACUAUUUUCUAUGGACACAGUUUAUCAUUAAAUCCAUAAAUGCAGGUUCGUCUGGAUCUUCUACAAUCUUGAGUUUGAUCAGGAUUAAAGUGCACAGUGAAGCACAACAUCGAGACCUUUCACCACUCACCAUAGGUGAACAAGACAUAGAGUACGUUCAGAACUUCACAUACCCCAGAAGCAACAUCUCAAAUACUGGAGACGUGGAGAAAGAUGUACAGACCAGAAUUGGCAAAACUGCAGGAGUCUUCCAAAGACUCUGGAACAUCUGGUCAUCGAAAUCCAUCACCACGGCCACAAAGCUAUGCCUCUAUAUGCCAGUGGUCAUCCCUACAGCGACCUACGCCUGUGAGAUGUGGACGGAGACAGACAGCAUCACCAACAAGUUGGAUGUCCUCCAACCACGGUGCCUCGGAUCCAUCCUAAAGAUAUCAUGGAGAGACCACAUCACCAGUGAGGAGGUGAUGAGAAGGUCAGGUGUAGCACCCUUGUCUGACAUCGUCGCUGAUAGGAGAAAGAGAAUGAAUGGACAUGUACUCUGACUGCCAAGAGAGAGACCGGCAUGUGCCAAGGAAACAGCCAAGGAAGACCUGAGCAAGAUGGGAGUCAGCUGGCAUGGAGCAAGAAGGGUCGCUAGGGACUGGAGCAAAUGGAGGGGACUCAUUGUCCAAUGUUCGAAUAGGAACGGGAGGAACUAAGUCUAAGUAAGUGAGUAAGAAGCCCUGUGCAGCAGAGACUUGAAGAUUUUCAUGGUUCGAUCCCAAAAUCAGAUAGCAAACUGCACAGAGCUGCAACACUCCAGAGAGCUUGGGAUCUGGCCCUCAGGUGUAGCAAAGGAUUUUUUUUUUGUAAACGUUGCUUGAGUGAAACAGGUCUUUGAGUAAGGGUUUAUUCUGAAUUUUUACCUAUGAAUUUACCAGUCUAAACUAGGGACUGGAUAAACACCUAAGCACAUGAGUCAUUCAAGCUCUUCUUCAGUGACGUCGCCGCCAAUUACACAUUUCAAAAGCCUCGACAGGAAAUCAAUGGUUUGCAGAGUGAAGUAUGGCUAACAACAGGUUCCUCCUAAUUGAAAGAGGCACAGCUGUGCAAUGCUACACCGAGGGCUCCUGCCGCACACUCACACCCCAAUUUGCUUGGGAUUGUUACCGCUGUGGAUAAUCAGCCUUUAGAUGAGCUGUUUCAGCAGAGCUUAUGCAUUUGAAUAUGGUAAUGAAGUCACCAGAGGGGGGCUGUAAUAAGAGCAGUAAUCGAUAAGGCAAUUUAAGCUAAACAGUGGAGUUAAUCUUUUGUUACACGUUUGACACAGGUAAUGAGUCACUGCUAUUGAGGAGAAGGGUGUAAUAGAUGGCUUUACCAAACAUUUCAAAUGAGAAACUAAUUAGCCACUGGCUGUUUCUCUUUUUGUUGCAGAAUAAUUGCUGUGCAGAGGAGUGUAAUCAGGAAGCACAUGCUUAUAUUUGCUCGGAAAGGGCAAUGUGUGCUAUUUAAGGAGUGUAUUGCAUGUCAGUGUCACAGAGAACAAACAAAUGAAGGAUGAUAAAGGGCUAUAGUACAAUAGACUUAUAAGAAUGGGGCAAAUUUACAGUAUACCACUCAUACAGUAUGUUUCCUGAGAGGGGUGGUAGGAUCAUUGUUAUUGAUAGAGAUCGGGUUCCUGCAUGUACCACCAACUGUAAGAUGCAGGUCGUCUUGGCUCUACUCAGUUUCUCAAAGCCAAGAUCCAGUCUGGGAUCCACGCCAAAGACGUCCAGGGUAUGUUCACCUUAAUCUGAUUGGCAUAGGUCCAGCUGUUGAAGUGUGGAGGUCUAGGGUCUCUAUGCCAAUAUGUCUAAAAGACACUGGGUUGCAAGUCUGUGCCUGCAGAAUGUAACUCAUGUUGGGUUGCAUGUCGUAUUCACUGUAAUGUUGUAAUAAUAUAUGGUAUCUGACUUGGAGCAGAAAGCAAACUUAUGUAAUGAAAUUGUGAAGAUCUGUGCAUAUAGCCCACUGCUUUUGUGAGUACGGUACAUCCUCUGGGCACACAUCUCAACAAGGAGAUUUUGACUAACUUGGGGGACAUAUUGAAAACUAGCCAACUAAUCUGUGGGUAUAUCUGAUAGUUUCCCCAAGCGCCAUCUCUAUCUCCAUUCCAGAUGAUCGCUCUCGUGGUUUACUUUAAUAGCACUUAGCUUCUCUUAGCUUCACUUUCUAACAAAAGUCUCCCCGGUCUCCUGCUUCUCCUGCUCGCUUCUGCUCGGUGUGUCAAAUGUUAAGUUACUCCUCAUCCUCCUUAGACAAUAACGAUACCUGCUUCAAGUGUAGUUUAUUCUUAACUCUGUAGGCGAGGAUUACUGAGCUGCAAAAGCGGUAGCGGUAGCUAGCAAGGACCCGGUAGCCAGUGCAGGUCGACCUAGCUUAGCUUCCCCCCCGGCAGAUCCCGAGCAGCCAGGAUGUAGUAGUGGUUGGGUUCCUGUAAAAGGGAAGCAUGGCAGCAGGCCUAAGAAGCCCAUGUUUGACCACCAUAUUCACAUUUCGAACAAAUUUGCCCCUCUCAGCAACACACCUGCUGAGCCCGAUGCUCUUGUUAUUGGAGACUCUCUCUGACACACGCUCAAGCCAAACGCGGGCUGUUGGCUCUGCACAUCAAACAGAACAUUAUCGCACUUCUGAAUCUCCUAACCCAAACCCUAAUCCUAAUCCUAACUUGACAGACGAUGACGUUUCAUAGUCAUAAGGAAUAACCAAUCAGAGCUCAACACUUAUAGCCAAUCAGAGGCGAAGGAGGGCGGGACCUUCCAUUACCAUCCCACAAAAGAAAAUUUGCUUCCAGGGGCCAGAGCUGGCGACAUUUAAGGUAGUUUGAAACUGCUGGCAAAGUCUAAAUGUAAAUUGACUUCCCGGCGUACUCUCGGCGCCGGGCAGUCAUUAACGCCGACCUAUUGUGAAUCUAUCAUUCAAACUGGAACUUUGCAUCUACCCUCUGGGCACCAUACAUGUCUCUUUUGAGUUUUUUUUUUUCAUCCCUCCACUUGAAUUGCUGAUAUUUGAAAGAAAUUGGUAAACAUAAUGCCAAAUUAGCCAACUAUUCAAAUUCAAGGAGUUAGGAUUCAUCUUCUGGGCGACAUGAAUGUCUGAAGGGAACUUUGUGUAUCCAAUCCAUGAGACCUUGUGAUAUUUGACUAAAUAAAUACUGAUAUGGAGGGAUCACCAACUACUUUGUGAUCAGUAUACAUCCUAUGGGCACCAUGAAUGUCUCUUUAUUUGCGUCUCUCGACUAAAAAUGUUGUCAAGUCAUCCUAUGGGCACCAAGAAUAUCUUCCACAAGACAUUGUUAUGACAACUUAUUACUUUUUGGGUGUAUCCUCUUAGCACCAUGAAUUACUCUGUUGUGAUAUUCAGCUAGAUUGGUUGAGAUUUUGUCAGUUUAGACGAGUACUUUGUUGACUUCUUUACUGGGCUCUUCCUCAGGGGACUGUCAUGAGGCAGAGUUGAACAAUAAAAAAAGAAGCCAAAGAUCAUUAUGAAUAGACUGACAUGCACACACUUAGACACACAAUGAACCAACAAGGACAGAGGGGAAGACAGGGACUAUAUACACACUGGUUAACGAGCAACAGGUGAGGCAAACGAGACACAGGUGAGGCUAACGAGCAACAGGUGAAACUCACGGGGGAUUAACGAAGGAGGGAAAACCCGGCAAGUAAAACACAAGGAAUCAACUACUGCAAAAUAGAAUAGGGAACAUUGAUAUUGAUAUAAAGAAAACUAGUCACAGAAAAUACAAUCCGAACAUAUCAUGACAGGGACCAUGAAAGUAAAACUCACUUACCAUUCCUUAGCAUCAUUUUUAGUCAUGAGAUUGUGAUAAUUAGAGCUUUUUAGUUGAUUUAAAAGCAGAUUUUUCUCGCUGAAAUCUUCACUUGUACUUCCUGACUCUUAAUUAGUUAGUUUGAUCGGUCACAUAUGCACUGUUCUGCCUGCUUUUUUCCGUAAAUCACACAAUAAGCGCCGACACAGAAGCUCAGCUGUGUCUCUUUCCUGAUUAUGUCCAUUCAAGCUUGAUGUCAGAACAAAUCAAAUCCCCCGGGGGCAAGCUUUCACUUCCUUUAUGCUGAAAUAAAUUAAGAGGCAAGAGGAGAAUUAAAGAAAAUGACAUUUUCCCUGAUUUAUGCUCUAUUAUGUUUUAAGAGGCUGACAACCUGAAACUAGGAUUUAGACGAGGACAAUAAUCCCAGCCUUGUGGAAAUUAUUUCCUUCUCGACUUUGGGCUGUAUCAUCAAAGCAGAAGUGCAAAUGCAUGCCAUAAAAGUUAAAUCAAAUGCUUUCAGAGAGGCUUUACCACUUGAUUCUGAUUCAUUAUCUUGUCUGGUUGAAUGUGUACGUGUGCACGCGAGCGUACGAGGGUGUUUUGCAGAGCAGUAGAUGUCGCUGGGACUCAGCUUUGUGUGGGCUGACAGAGGCUAAGGGUCCCAUUGUGGCACGUUAAAAGCCAGGUUAAUGCUUUCCACGCAUAAUCUGAAAGCCGGGGCAGCAGCAGUACAUCUCCUCUCAUUUAAAUCUCACUUGCUUGUGUAACAUCUUUUAUUCCUUGAGUGGCAGCUCACCCUUGUUUUGUUUUGUUGGUUUUUUUUCAGCCGCUGCUUCACACUUCAUUCGCAGUGAUAAGCAUGUUCUGUCUUGCUGCAUCAGGAAGUUUACCCCGUCUGCUUCUGAGAUGUGCUCUCACCACUUCCAGGUACUGCGGCGGAGGGAGAGGAUCCUCAUUGACUGCCGCAUUGAUUUUGAAUUAGCACCACAGUGUCUGCCUUCUGCAUUAGGAGUUCAUUCAGAUAACGAUGUGGAAAAAAACUCAGCGGGCACUGAUUAAAAUUGAUGCUUGUUGUGAGCAAGGAAAAAUGCAUGUUUCAUGUCUUUUCAGCAGGCAGAUUUACAACACCGGUCUUAAAUCCCUCUGAGGCUAACUCCUAUGAGGUAAAGUACUUGCAGACAGGCUUUACUAUUUAAGCCAUCAGUGGAAAUCCGAGCAGGCUGUUUUUAUUCUCCCUUGGAAAUUUUGAUCCUCUUGUCUGGUUGCGUUUUUUCUCCUUUGUUUAACAGAAUUUUUAAAGUUCAGUUGCGUUUAAUCGACAUCAACUCUCCAUUUUCAUUGGAUUUUACUGACCUCACAACAAAUCUGCAUUUCUCCACCAAACUAAACUUGAUUCAGGCCUUGUUAAAACUACUAAGCUACAUGUGAUCUGGUUAAACACAUGCAGUACGAGACUCAUCCCCCUAAAGGCGCCACAGAGCGUCACAGGAAGUCAUUCUUGCCGGUGGCCAUCAUCAAACUUUAUAACUCCUCCCUCUUAGUGUCCCUGGACUUAUGCUGCGUUCGAGUUACCUCGGAAGUCAGAAGUCCAACCUGGGAAUGACGUCACACCUAAGUAACUAGAGUUCCAGUUACCAAGUCGGAAGAAAGCAAAAUCAGAGGUGGAAACAAGAUGGCUACAUCUACAAAAGUUAUUUUAGCGCUUGCCUUGUCCUUGCUCAUAUUCGGUAAAGGCAAGCGCCAAAAUAACUUUCGUAGAUGUAGCCAUCUUGCUUCUGCCUCCGAUUUUGCUUUCUUCCGACUCGGUACCUGAAACACUAGUAACUUGGGUGUGAUGACAUCUGACUUCCAAGGUAACUCGAACGCAGCAUAAAUCUAAUAAAGUAAUUGCCCACUGAGCAUUUUUUGGUCUGAAAGAGGUCGAAUAGAUGUCUAAAUGUAGCCUAGACGACUGGUCUAAAAUCAGGCUACCACAGGUCUAGAAAUAAAAGUUUUUUUUAGACGUCUAACUUAGACCAAGUUUAGACUAGCCAGCUAACAGAGGUCUACUCUGUAUCAUAAUACAGUAAUACACUAUCAUAAUUAUUUUGGUUAGGGUUAGUAAGUACUUGUUGCUUUUUUAAAUAAAUAUUUAUUGAAUAAUGCGUUAAAUUGCAACGCCUAAAUUCCAUCUAAAAAUAUACAGAAUCUAGACGGUUGAAAUUUGAUCUAAAAGAAAAACUAGACGUCCUUUAGCCGUCUAUUCCUCGGAAGGUGGUAGCUUCUGUACUGAACAUGUGCAAACUGUUUGUAAACCGGUCAAUAAUCUAACAGGAAAAACCCACAGGAUCUGGAACGGCUCUGCUCCGCUCCGGCACGGCAGGCGGAUCAAAAACGCAAGCAUUAUAAUCAAUGUGUGUCAUUCCACAGAAUCUGUCCGCUGUCUGGCUCCACUGCAGAUCGGCUCUAGCAACCAGGAUCAGAUACGCAAGGGUUCUAUUUGUGCCGGACACCAGAGCACGGCGCAUCAAUUCAGUGCAGCGCAGCACGAGCAGCAGCAGAAGUUGUAUGUGGUUACAGAGUAAAAUAUCUGGUUAAUUUUCAAAAUAAAAUAAAGUCAAUACACUGAACUGUUGUUAAUUUGAUAAUCGGAGAGGCCAGGGUUAUGGGAUGUGGGUGUUUAUAUACACCGCCGUUGAUAUUCACCAUUUGGUGCAUCUCAUUCUAUGACUCCCGGGAAAAUACACACAAGCUCGUGAGAUCGCGUCCAGUCUCGCGAGAAAUAUCUGUAAUAUCGCGAGCGCUUCUCCUUUGAUGGCGGCGGCGGAUUGGAUCCAGUGGGCGCAGUAUGUUUGCAGAUCUGAUCCACCUGCUGGUCUGGAGCAGAGCGAAGUCGUUCCGAAUCUAGUGGGAUAUCCGGGUAAGAGAUCAGUUUUGUUUAGACUUCCUGUUUUUUUCUUAAAACAUUCUAACACUAAUUCUUAUAUUCUGCCCUGUUUUUCUUGCCUUUUUUAUUCAUAUUCAUUCCUUUUUCUAUUCUCCAUCUGUUAAUAUUUGUAUUUUUAAGAGCAAGUGUGAUGCUGUAAUGAUCGAUCUAUCCCCAGCAGAUGAAGUAUCCUGAUUCUGAUUUAUACAUGAAGACUUGGAGUUGAGGCAGGUCUUAAGCCCCAGUCAAGCCGGCCACAUCACUUAUUAUGCAAAACUUGUAAUCUAAGUAUCCUCAAAACUGAUAACUUGUUAAUAAAAGACCCUUUAAAUCGUGUCUCUUCUGCCUACUGUGGAGAUAUUGCUCAAAUAAGAAUUGAUACAUCCAUAAAUCUGUAGAAAAAAGUCAUUUUCAUUCACAGAGGUGCGCAGGGUCAUCCCUUCAUGGUGAUGUAACUUUUGUUUUUGGUCCAAUUAAAUCUGAAACAAGCCUUACUUCCUGUUUACCCUCACAUAAACAAACCGUUACAAAACUCCCAAACAGAAAUAGACUUAUUUGGGAUUUAGCAGGGUACCGCUGCAUGAACAACACUGUCAACACCAAUCACGGAGAGAUAGCAGCACAAACUCUGUUGUGUAAACCAUGUUUUACAGCAGUGGUUUCAGAGACCUGUCUCAAAAGUUAGACAUCAUUUUCUUUUCUUUACUUUUUUUUUAUCCCACCUUGAAUAAAAAGUAGCAGCAGAGAAAUAUCAGGAAACAAGAUGAGAGAGACAGUGAGUGACAGGGAAAAGGUUCCUGGACAGGCCUCUAGGGUGUCCCAGUGUGUGUUUUUCAGCAGCGUCUUUCUGAAAUAGGAUCUCUUUUAAAAUCAGGUCAGGAGUAUUAAAAUUAGUCACAGUCAUGAAGUGACAGGGGUUGACAGGGUUUUCUUGGAAGAAAACGAAGCGGAGGUGGUGCUUUUCUUGUCAUGCACAUAUCUGCAUGUGUCGUGUGCACACUGGCUCAACCAAAGACUUUUCACAAGCAGCGUGUUGUCGAAGUUUUCAUACUCAUAUAACUAAAGAAAAGCAAGCAAAGCUGUAUAUGCUAGGGCCCGACUGAUAUGGAUUUUUUGGGGCCGAUGCCAAUACGGAUUAUUAGAGGGGAAAAAAAAUCUGAUUACUGAUUAAUCAGCCGAUUUUUAAAUUUUUUAAUUAAGUUGUAAAAAAUAUACAUAUACUGUAGAUAUACUGUAAGCUACUGCUCUUCACACUGACAGGAAGACCGACUGAUCAAACUCGGACCAGAAAAGUGUUUUCAACUAACUAACUAACGGCUAACAGUGUAGCAAGGCUAGGAGGCUAACUCUAACUUUAGCUUGCAUAUUACAUAGUGCUUCACUGUUAACUCGGCGUGACCGAGACCAGCACAACGGGGAACAUCAUGAAGUGGGUUGAACUGAAACUUGUUGACUUAUUGUGUAUUACACAAACUGGUUUAUUUACUGUUGAGGCAGACCACUCUCCUCCUUGCGUCCCUGAACUGCCUGUUACAGAUCUGUCACUCCGCUGUGCUGUGAGGUAGUUAGUGGAUGAAGAUUGUCAUGAGGUCGCUGCGCCAUCUACAGGAUAAGUCGGGGAACUUUUCAAAUGGCGGAACAUUAUCUUAUUCUCCGCAUUUAAUUUCUAAAAAUAUUGGCAAAAAUUGACGACUUUUGGCCGAUUACCGAUUAGUCUCAAACGGGCUUAAAUUGGCAGAUUUAAUCGGCUCGCCGAUAAAUCGGUCAGGCCCUAGUAUAUGCUACAUUGAAAUGCAAGAAUUCUUGUCAUAAGCUGUUGCAAGCAAGCAAAAACCUCAGAGUUUAAGAGGUGCUGGGACUGCAGUUCCUUUUGUGUCCACUUGAGGGUGGCUCCAAAGCCCCAAAAGCCACAUACACACCCAUUAAAGGAGGCCAUCUUUACAUCAAACAUUAACAUACAUACUUACAACUUGGUACAAAUAAAGAGGAUUUUCAUUUGUUUUGAAGACGUUUAAGAAAUGAGUUUUGCAUCUUCAUUUGAGUUGGAUGACUUGAUUGACAGGCUGUAGAUGUGGUGCUUUGUAAGGUGGCUCAAAGUCCACCUCAACUCCACCUGUUUUGCCAACCAAUAAUCAAGGCCUGUCAGCAUUUCCAAUACAGCAACCACCAUUGAUCUGCUUCAAAACUGCAUGUUGCUGAUGCUAUUGUUGCUGAUUUUACUCUGAAAAGGCAAAGUAGCCAAGCAUCUCUCGAGGAGGGAGGGUGAUGACCACCUCUCGCUUUACCUUGGAUGCGCCCCUGCUAUCAGUGUCUGUGAAAUAGGUUUUUCAAUUGUUUCUAAUUUAACCAUGAUGAUAAAUUAGAAAAAAAUAAAAAAGUCCUUAGGAUAUAGUUGGCACCAUCUUCUCUUCCUCUGACUCAGCUUCCUCCGCUCACCUUGGUCAGCCAUGCUUGUAUAUGCAGUAUGUGUCAAUGUCCAAGCUAAAAUUAAAAGACUUAUGACACUAUUACUCACGUCGACUGGCAACCUUAACAAUGAGGCCAGUCACUUAGGUACGUCUGCUUCUAUUUGUCUCUUUCUUCCUCUUGGCACUCUCGCACGUCAGCACUUCCUCCCCUCGCCUGGAUUUGAAUAACCUCCCAUCGCUGCAGUUUAGCGUUCGUCAAAGUGGGGGGACAGAAAUCUUGCACUUGGCUCGGCUCCACACGUCAGGAGGAGGCUGGCUGCCCUUCAGUCAAGAAUGUGGUUGAUGUGCUGAGGGGAAAAAAAAAAAAAAAAAAAAAGAGACGCCCACAGGGAAAGUUUGCUAUCUAAGUUGAACCCCCUUAAAUCUCACAAAGUAAUUAAGAAAGUAAUUGUUACCUCUGAAAACUUUCCUUUUAUCAGAUUGGGGUUAUUAUCCAGGGGAGGUUGCUAUCACCAUUCUUUAAAAUAAUCUGAUUAGAAAACUAUUGCCUUGAUAUCUUUUCCCUGACACAAACAGCUUGUAAUAACCCUUUUUAAAAAUAGACAGGAGGCAUUUUGCAGUGAAAUACUCCCUCAAUCCAACCACAAUGACACGUCUGAGACUACAAUCUAUCUUUGGGUUAUAAGGGGUCACAUUUAGGACAAAAAGGCAUCGAAACAAAGCUUGGAAUUGCGUCUACAACCUCACCAGUCCUUGCACUUUUACUAUCACAUGUGGAAUUAAGGAUUAACAAAAGAAUAACCCAAACUUUCCAUUUGAGGCCAACAUAAGCCUCUUAGGCUUCACUGCAAUGUUGUUUUUGUAGUUUUUUGGAUGCAGUGACUUUCAUUACAGAGUCAUGUUUGUUUUCAGCAAUGAUUGGCAAGCUUCUCAUAAAAUAAAGUGGGCUAAGCUGCUAGUUACAGCCCAAUAAAUAUCACUUCAUUACAUAAAAGCUAUGCCCCGGAGAAAUGUGGCAAGCUAGGCUAAGUAGUUAAGCUACAUGAAUUUAUUGUCUGGGUUUUUUAUUUCGAUUAUUUCAAGCUAUUUGAUCGAUGAUCAAGCUGUUCGACGACAAAAGCUCCUGUGAGGAAUCUGGCGCCCCCCUGUGGACUAAGCAGCCACUGCGAAUCUUGCCCUCUCACAUGCUUGAUGAUGACUUACCCCCAAUUUCCACAGCAUCCAUAACGGCUAUGAAAAGGCCGUAUCCACGGAUCAUAACCAUUCAAGUUAAUGAGUCAAUUUCCACCGGCUUCUUUCUGUUCCGCUGCAGAUUACCGAACUUCGCAGCUGAUCGCAAGAGUUCAAUUUUUUCUGGACGCCAGAGCAUGCCGGAUAAAUUCGGGACAAAUUAACCUGUGCUGGAAAGGAAGUCAGGCACAGACACAAAAUAAAACAUUGUGAAUCGUGAACAUGAAUUUGCAGGUUCUUGUGAGUUCUUGCGAUUCCUGCUGUCCGUAAUCCACCACGAAAUUCACCUCACAAAUGAAUCUGGUAGGAAUUGGCGUACAGUGAAAAUUGCCACUGUUCCGAAUGCGGUGGACUUUUAUCGGUCCAAUGUCAUAUUUAUCUUAAGUCAGUCAGUUUCAUGACUUUCGCUAUAUUUGGAUAUUUGGGCUGAAUGAUUUAAACACCAUCAAAUUCUGUUGAGAUCCGACUUUUCUGGAGUUCAUGGUUGGAUGCAGGAAAAUAAAAAAAAACAACUCGGCACUUAAAACACAAGUAAACAUCCAAUUUUUCGGAUUUACACCAGACCCAGAGUGUCAGCCAAACCAAACCAGGGCUUUUCUUCCCCGUCUCUGAUAACCUUGACCUCACUCUUUGGCGCUUAACACCCUUGUCGGCCUCUAUCGUCGAUGAUGUUGCUGCAUAUCAGUGUCGGGUGUUAUUCCCUGCCUCUGGUGUCGCCUCUUGGGCCGUGCCUCGCUAUUUUAUCCGUGUAAUCACUAGGCAGCCUACAGAGAUCAGACACACUGUCCGAGUGAUUCCCCUCACAGGAAUGUGAGCGCUCAAAUAGCACAAACGAGUAUCCGAAAAGACGGGAAGGUGUGUGCUUAUGCGAGCGUGUGCGCGCUUUCUUUUCCUUUACGUGUGUGCAGUGGAGAGUGCGAUGAGUGGUCGAGUGUCAGAGCUGCGACUUUCGAGAGCAAACACUGCUGGCAGCUCUCCGUAGUGAUCAAGUCACGCGUCACUAAGCCCAGCGUGGAUCCGCUCUGAAGUUCAGCUGAGUUAAAAGUCAUGUGUUUCCUUUCUUUCCUUUUUUUUUUUUUUGGGACGCGUGUGUGUGCGCUUGUGAACCACAAUGGAAGAAUAGCUUUCAGUGUGUGUUUGUGUGCCUGCGACACAGCUACGCCAGGGUCACAAGGAUGCCAUUCAUAGUCACAGUUUGUGACGGGUGUCUGACAAGCCCCACAGGAGGACUGCUUGAUGUGCUGAUACAGACAAGAAUGUUUUCUUAAAGUGUUUUGCAGAGUGCAGAUCAAGGGACGCAUACUUAAAAUGCACCAGAAAAACAUUGUGCCACCACGAGGUUGUUUUUUUUUGGGUUCUGUUUGCACUCGAAAAAUAAGCAAAAGCAAAGUAUAAAUCACUGAAAAGGCUCAUGAAAUCAAAUAAUGAUGCGGCACAUUUUCCACAAUCAAAAACAAACACUAUCCGCGUGUAAAUUGUUUCUGGCUUUCACAAUGUUGUGUGUGUGUCCGCACCAUUAACUCUCUGUGAUGUUUUUAUUCAGUGUCGUUCUGCCAAGCAUAACAGAUGUGGGUCUGCAUCUGAUUUGGUAUGCGAGCUCUCUUUUUCCCAGCUGUCACUAGUGUGCCGUCAUGUGUGUGACAUCACAUCAGGUGAGGAGCGAUACUGCGAUGCCGAUUCAUCCUUGAAGAAACCUUCAUUUAAAGCAGAAACCACUGACCUUGGAGCGUUUGAAUAGUUUCUCUGAGGAAAACGUCUUAAUUAUCACAUCAGGUGUCUAAAAAAGUGAAGGUAUAUUUGAGUUUUUAUUUUUUAUUUUUUUUAACCUUCUGCUGCCAGGACAAAACCCCUGAAACACUUAAAAAUCGGUAAACAAUCAAAUUUUAAAUAUUCAACGAUCCAAUUUAGGCUUAUUGUUUCAAUCCAAGCCUGGGCUCAACUGCACCAAGGUUUUUUAUAAUUAUAUAUUCAUAUGUUAAUAGGUCAUGUAUGAUUUCCCUUUCUUUUGUUCUCUGCGGACUCUUAGAGCUCAGUGAUUUUAGCAAUGCAGCGUAACCCAGUGUGUGUCUCCACCUCAAACCAACAACAGCCUACUCUUAAGUCUGGGAUCAGGCAUAGGGCUUUCUUGAUGUUUAAAGGGCCCGUCAGUGAGACGCCAUAAGAGUUCGCAAUGUGCACUCCUCUGAUCAUCACUAUCUCCUCACAAGCCAGCUUCAUUUCAACUCUGCAUUUGCAUGGAAGUCCAAACUCAAGGUCCUUACACACCACGACACAAAUAUACGACAAGAAAUUACGAAAUAUUCAGAGGCGAAUUUUGACACGCCUGACUUUACACAUCAAGCGCGAUGCGAUUUUGCAACUUUCUUGGGGGAGAAAGACGCGUCCCGGGUGGAAGUGAGAAGACUGACCCAACAGCAGACUGACUGUUUUUCAGUUCUGAUUAGACUCUAGUGUUGAGAUGUCUGUCUGUCAUGACAGCAUGUACUGAGUCGGGGCCAGUACCAGAUAAGCACAUUAAACUAUAAUCCAUAAACUUAAGGUAACAACCGAGACCUAAUAGUGCUGUGACAGCAACAUGAUUGAUUUUGAGACAGUGAAAAUACAUAUGGUAUGUUGUAUCUGAACAGAUUAGCUUACGAGCUAAAGUUACUUAGCACAGAUGAAAGUUAAAACAAAGACGUUUAGCAAACUGUUAAAGCACACAAACCAUCGUCAUAUAAGAAAUCCGACGCUAUGACUCUCCACAAGUUGUCCUUCAGGUCGUUAUCUUUGUAAUAUUUGUGUUUUUUAUCAAAAAGUACUCUGUUCUCUGACACGUAAACAAUCAGCCGGUCAGCCAUGUUGGAUAUAC